Phthorimaea operculella (potato tuberworm) is the source of this 72-nucleotide non-coding RNA. The record is from the annotation of a GenBank genome assembly. Lineage: Eukaryota; Metazoa; Arthropoda; Insecta; Lepidoptera; Gelechiidae.
GCAUCCAUAGCUCAGUGGCAGUGCGGUGGGUCGUUGACCCAUGCGGCCUGGGUUCUAACCCCGGUCGAUGCA